UCCGAGUUGACCCCGGCAGUCUCCUGCGAGUCCCCGCCAUUACGCGCUGGCAACACAGGACAAGGGUUGCGCUCGUUGCGGGACUUAACCCAACAUCUCACGACACGAGCUGACGACAGCCAUGCACCACCUGUGAUGGUGUCCCGAAGGAAGGACGUGUUUCCACGCCUGUCACCAACAUGUCAAGUCCAGGUAAGGUUCUUCGCGUUGCAUUGAAUUAAACCACAUACUCCACCGCUUGUGCGGGCCCCCGUCAAUUCCUUUGAGUUUCAGUCUUGCGACCGUACUCCCCAGGCGGCGAACUUAACGCGUUAGCUUCGAUACUGCGUGCCAAAUUGCACCCAACAUCCAGUUCGCAUCGUUUAGGGCGUGGACUAC
RNAcentral lists this unclassified non-coding RNA (378 nucleotides) under uncultured Lysobacterales bacterium. RNAcentral's name for it is "uncultured Xanthomonadales bacterium contains 16S-23S intergenic spacer region". The record is from RNAcentral. Lineage: Bacteria; Pseudomonadati; Pseudomonadota; Gammaproteobacteria; Lysobacterales.